RNAcentral lists this ribosomal RNA (229 nucleotides) under uncultured bacterium. Its description in RNAcentral is "partial 16S ribosomal RNA". It matches the Rfam family "Bacterial small subunit ribosomal RNA", at positions 568 to 796 of the family's 1533-position model. The record is from RNAcentral.
UGCGUAGGCGGGGCAAUAAGUCAGUGGUGAAAUCCUGCGGCUUAACCGUAGAACUGCCAUUGAUACUGUUGCCCUUGAGUAUAGUUGAGGUGGGCGGAAUAUGUAAUGUAGCGGUGAAAUGCAUAGAUAUUACAUAGAACACCGAUUGCGAAGGCAGCUCACUAAACUAUCACUGACGCUGAGGCACGAAAGCGUGGGGAGCGAACAGGAUUAGAUACCCUGGUAGUCC